This is a long non-coding RNA of Lotus japonicus, 3741 nucleotides long. RefSeq lists it as uncharacterized. The record is from RefSeq and is a predicted model, not a curated record. The transcript has 5 exons. NCBI's taxonomy places the organism in Eukaryota, Viridiplantae, Streptophyta, Magnoliopsida, Fabales, Fabaceae.
UGCGAGGAAUUUAAGAGAUUACUGAAACUCCAUAGUUGAGAAGGAUGGAUGUAUCAUGUUUUGUAGUAGACUUCUAAAUAGUAAAAAGUGUAAAAUAGAUUGAAGAGUGCAUGUAGGUCUCAACUAUAGUUAAUGAUAGGAAUAUGCAGAUUAUGUGUUACACUUGGAUGUACUUGCCCAUCAUUCACUGAUAUGGUUUUGGUUGAUCUUCCUUUUUUCUCUUUUCCUACUUAUUGUGCCAAUGCUAAUUUGCUGAAUUUGCAAACAUAUUGAAGACUGUCCCUUCCUUCUCUUUUAGCAUUUUGUACUGAUAAAAAGAUGUUGUUUCGGAUUUUAUUAUUUUCUUGCAGAGCUCAGCUGUUUCCAACUGAGUAAUUUGAACAUUAAGGCAGAAGUGUUGGCUUCUUUUUUAGUUAGUUAUUGUAUUUCUCUUUCAAAUGAUAGGAGGCUUGAUUCUAUGAACUUGUGGCUGCAGCUAAGCUAGUCCUCUCCCCCAUCUCCUUCUAAAAGGCUCAGCCUCACUAACAAUUAUAGAAAAUAGUUGUUUUGUAAUAGUUAUUUUAUAACUAUCUAUGAUCACUUUAUUGCUCCAAGUUCUUUUAGUUUUCUUGUACUAUAGAUGCAAAUUCAUGUCAUAAAUCUAUAUAGAUACAAUUCAGAAGCCUUUGCAAGAAGGGAAUGGAUGACGUGUCCCUUUCUUAUGCAAAACUGAUUUUGUUAUGAUUUUUUUUUUUUAAUUUAUGGUGUUAACACGUGGAUUCACAGAAUUCUUUCCCGGUUUUUUUGAUGGAUCUAAUAUGUGUAUUGGUUUGGAUGUGUGGAUGUAAGGACAAGGGUUUAGAGUGUAUGAAGAACGACAUAUAACAUGUGUAUGCUGAUGAAUUGUUUGGGCCAUGAAUAUAACACGUGUAUGUGAGCGGAGUUGUCUUUCCGUCCUCUGUAGCAGCACUUUUUCGGGAAGAAAUCAAAAUGGUGCCUUGAGGUGUCUUCCUCACCUUAACUUGGGUACAGAAUUCAACAAGUAUCACUGCUAGAACUUGACUUUGGAGAAAAAAAUCUGCCAUCAACCUUUCCAAUUUCAACGCGCUUCACUGCCAGAUCUUGACUUUGAAAAAUAGGAAGGGUUGUCAUCUGAAAAUUCAAGUGGCCUUUGACAACGCCCCUGCUUUCAUUGGCGGCGAGUAUGCAUGCGCUGAGAAGGUUUGAAUCGAUAACCCACAUAGUGGACCAUGCGAUGUUUGACUUUUGAACCUGCAGUUGCAGCUCUUGAACCAGUCGGUGGACUUACGAGCUGGCUUUGGCAGUGGUGAUGGUAAAAUGCUACCCAAACGACAUUUUUUCAAUGCUGAAAUCUUCCUCCUCUUUUCUGCAGCGUCCAUUUCUGGGGGAAGGCUUGCCGGAUUUAAUGAAGAUGGAGUUUGAGUAGGCGAAGACGGUGGCUGAAGGGGAGUGCACGAGCAGGCUUUUGGCCACGAAUCGAGCCUGUUUUGCUUUGCCAGCUAUCAAGCAAACAUUAAUUUAUGAAUCCCUGCAUCCGGUGAAUUGCAGGAUGAAUUCAAAAACAGAUAUCUCUCUCUCUCUCUCCCUGUUUCUAUUUCGUUGCCGUUUAUUGUGGUAGUAUCCCUAACGGAAGCGUCCCAGCCUCAGUGAUAACUAUGCCCUGUCCUCACGGAAGUGUUUAACAUUCGAGGGAUAUUCAUGGUGGCCAGUUUGUGGUGUCGAACAUCUGAAAUGAGAUCAGCUGAAUCCCUCUUGACAUGCGGAGUUCAAGAUCCUGGAAUCCAGAAGUCGCUGCUCUGUCUUCUAUGUCAUGGGUCUCAAAAAGAUCGUACAGGUGGAGGAGGUGAUAUCAACAAAGUGUGAGGGCUUGCAGGAAGGGAGGUUGAUUGUGCAGAUAUGGAGGUUUGGGAGCUGGCCAGAUGGGAUGCAAUCAAUGGUAAAUGUUGCACUCGUGACUUUUUUAUAACUUUACUCAUUUGGUUUGAGGCUUUAGUUCUGAAUGGUUGUGAAUUUUGUUUUGCAUGUGGGAGUUAUGUUUGAGGAGCCUGGAUCUGGGGUUAGAGUUGUCAAGCUCACACAUAGUGAUGUGCCUGAAGAAGAGAUGUUAAUGUUUGUUUACUUUGGGUUUGUUUGAUGUAAUUGCAAUGUUUGUUUUGGACAGUUGAAUAACGUAGGUUACUACUUGAUUAUGGAGGUAUGAAAAUUUCAAUGCGGUUGAGAACACUUUCAAAAGAAUAACAGUUUGGCCAUGGCUGCUUGCAGGACUGCUGGAUAACCGAUUUAGCGAAUUUCAGAGUUCAACGUGCUCUCCCCACAGCCUUUUCAAUGAGCAAGAUGUGGCCAACCUUGAUAGUGAAAGGAAAAGGAGGACUAGACAAUAUUCAGCAUGUUCAAUUCUUUUAGAACCUAUAUGAGCCUCAACCAGAACACAUAUACGUUACUUUUUUUUGUGUUAUUUUUUACUAAAUUUAAUAUUCAUCAUCAUUUUAUUAUUUGUUUAAGAUUAGCUUAUAUCACUUCUGACAGCCAUUCUUUUGCUCAUUAUAAAAGAGAUUGCUAUAAAGUAUGUUUUAGAACAUCUAUAAGAGUGCAUUAUAUCUAGAUAGGGUCUGAAAAGGAGAAGAGUUAUUAUUUAAUUAGCUUCUGAUUAAUUCUAUGUUAUGGAAAUGAGGUGGGUAGCUUAAGAUUAUAACUUUGAGUUCUUAUUUUUGUCACUUUUCAUUUUUUAACCCAAUUUGCAAUGUUACAACAGGUUAUCAACGAGUGGGAAGGUUCGAAUCAACUAGAUUAGAGGGCUGUCCAUUUUAUCAUUGUUAAGGUCCAAAAAGAGGGUUAGGGAAGGCAAGUGACAACAACUAAUGGACUGAAACUUCAUAGUGGAAUCGACAUAUAUUACAAGGGUUAGAAAUAGAAAGCAAGAAAUUAUCAACUAUGAAAGAGACUAGCAAAUUAAUUUUAUCUAGCAACUAUUGAAACCUAUUAAUUUGGUGGUGAAUCUUAUCCUUUCAAGUCAUCGUGUUCCCAUGGAACUCUGCUGCUAUUUGUUGCUCACUGUUAGGUCAAGCAGGUUUAUCCAGAUGAAGUUCUCUUAAUUAGAUUUCGAGCUGGCUAAUAGUACCUAUAUCACAUACAUGUACUGCAAGUGCAAAGUACAAAUUGUUCACCCUUAUGUGAUUACUUAUAGAAUAGGACUGAAUCAUUCCUUCAUUCAAUAAUGAAGUUUGUGCAUAGUAAAAAAAGUCCAGAUUUUGAUUGAGAAGAGUAAAGGAAAUCAUAUUGGAUGGGAGAUUUUUACAGAUAAUUAUUUUAUGCAAUUUAGUAGCUGCUUAAUGUUAUUUCACUGAUGUUGACAGGGAUGAGUUAAGAUAAUCUAGAUUUUAUGUUUUGCAGCUAUGAGAUGAUAUGGAUGGUGGUUCCCAAGAAGUGAAAAUGGGAGGAUCUCCUGAGCCAGUUCUCAGAUUGAUCUUGAAGGAAAUCAAGAUCGUGAUGGUGUAGGGUUGCAUUCAAUUCCCAUGGGCCAUGAGCUUGGAAAUGGUGGAGACUGUAAAGAUUCUGCAGAAUCACCCUUUUCAUAAACAAGAUGUUGAAAUGGAAGAUCUAGCGGAUGUUGUCCAUAUUUAUGAUUCUAAAAUUACCCCAGAAAAAAGAAUGUCUGAUGAAUGCAUUCAGUGUAGCUGGAAUUAACAGUCCAAAAUCUGUUUUUUCCUUAUAUUUGUUAGUUGUUCUUUCUUUUUUACCUUU